UACGUAGGUGGCGAGCGUUGUCCGGAAUAACUGGGCGUAAAGGGAGCGUAGGUGGUAAUUUAAGUUAAAUGUGAAAGCCCAGGGCUCAACUCUGGAAUUGCAUUUAAUACUGGGUUACUAGAGUGCAGGAGGGGUAAACGGAAUUUCUAGUGUAGCGGUGAAAUGCGUAGAUAUUAGGAAGAACACCGGAGGCGAAGGCGGUUUACUGGACUGCAACUGACACUGAGGCUCGAAAGCGUGGGGAGCAA
This 248-nucleotide ribosomal RNA is filed under the name uncultured Eubacteriales bacterium. Its description in RNAcentral is "uncultured Clostridiales bacterium partial 16S ribosomal RNA". It matches the Rfam family "Bacterial small subunit ribosomal RNA", at positions 524 to 771 of the family's 1533-position model. The record is from RNAcentral. Lineage: Bacteria; Bacillati; Bacillota; Clostridia; Eubacteriales.